AUAGAUCUGCGGUGUACGGAGUUCGGCGUUUUUGCGGAAUCCACAUUAUAUAUUCGGGAGUUGUUAUUCGUGUCGAUAGGCAAGGUCUGUUUUACGGAAAGUCCGAGGCGGCAAGAUGCGGCACCCACCUGCUAUCAGCGGGUUCACCCAUCGUCGAGGUGCGGCACAGGCGGAUUAUUU
Molecule: non-coding RNA, 180 nt
Filed under: Clostridia bacterium
Lineage: Bacteria; Bacillati; Bacillota; Clostridia
Description: 6S RNA
Rfam family: 6S / SsrS RNA
About the family: E. coli 6S RNA was the first non coding RNA to be sequenced, but its function was unknown until recently. It consists of 184 nucleotides that fold into an extended hairpin structure with a large single-stranded internal bulge.
Source: RNAcentral